Molecule: long non-coding RNA, 4107 nt
Organism: Astatotilapia calliptera (eastern happy)
Lineage: Eukaryota; Metazoa; Chordata; Actinopteri; Cichliformes; Cichlidae
Source: Ensembl
UCCCCUCUGUGCACUUGCAACCAUGUGUUUAUUUUUGCAUUUAUGUUUAUUUUUCAGCAUUUUUUUUAACAGAGGUUUCUUUCUGCUCAUUAUUCUGUGAGUGGGAAAUACUGUGAAAUCAAUUAUGAAGGCUGGAAAAACUUCUUAGUUUGAUGGCAGUCGAGCUGAAGCCAGACAGGAGCAUGAACACAGCACAGGGAUUCUUCAGGAUAAGGAGCUUUUCUACAGGAAGUAGGUGUUUCUACUCCAAAUACAAUAUUAAUGGUGUGGAGCGACAAGCAAAAACAUCUGAGAGACUAAAGAAAAUCUUUAUUACAGCUGUACCAAAGACCAUUUUCAAUGCACGGACAUAAGGGUGAAUGCAUUUUCUGUAAAAGAGGAAAGAGACAGCAGCAACAAAAAGAGAACUUUGAUUUUUUAGGGAACAAAUUGGCAACAAAAUAGAAAUGUGUGCCAGGCAAAUAAAGUGAGUGCAGGCUGGUGUAGCUGUAGAAGAAUAAUAUGGAUAUGUGGUAAUGAUGAAUAUGAGAAAGCAUCUUACUGCACGAGAUUUUUAAAAAAGAAGACAAAGUAGGAAAUGAAGUUUUAACCACGUCUCACUCUGUGCAAAAACUGUUUUAUAGUUUGAGAACACAAGACCAGCACUGCAGUCUGCUAACAAAGAGCUAACUGGUUCAGGUAACUCUUCACGGUGAGUUUAGAGGUUGAAAGAAAACAUGGCUGAACACAUAAAAUACCAUCUAAACCUGCUGGAAAGGAACAAGAAACAGGGCUGUCCUGUUUUAAGAGCACUUAAAAUCAGAUUUUUCGAAAGCAUUAAUUACCAACUUAGUUCUGUCCAUUAUAUUUACCCCGUGUACUGUACAGUAUCCAAAUUAUAAUUUGGAUUUCUUCCUUUUUGUGAUAGAUUUUCUAUACAGACAUAAUUUUCCACAGUGGCUCUAAUCACACAGACUAAUUCCAGAUGUUUUUGGAUGUGAAGCAUUAGGAGAGCUAAGGGAAGGAGGGGAGCUGAAAACUGGACUGAUGAACCCCCAACAGAUUUUUUAAAAAGACUGAAACUACUUUUUUCCCCCCCCUCAUUAUCAAAAAAAAUUGGGUUAAUGAGUCUGUUUUUCUGGGGCAGGGAGGAGGGACAGAGCACAUCCAACUGGGUGAACUAUCGAGCCAUCACAGGUUUAAGCAGCCACCUCUGCAGCAGGGGCCACCUCGGCUUCAGCAGGUGGAGUGAGAUCUACUGCUGCCGUACCAGCGUUUUCUGCCACAGGUUCCUCUGCUGGGGCCUCCACAGCCACUUCAGCAACCACCUCUGCCUCCACAGGUGGAGCGGCGUCCUCCGUCUCUGCUGACUCAGCUGCCGUCUCAGCUGCUGCCUCUGGAACGACCGCCUCAGAGACGGCGGCGGCGGCUUCUGCUUCUUCAGACGCAGCUUCCACAACAGGUUCAGCAGCUGUCUCUCCUACAGGUUCUGCAGCAGCAGUAGCCGGGGCCGACUCAGCGAUGACCUCAGCAGCAGGGGCUUCCUCCUCCACCGGUGCAGGCUCAACUGCAGGUGGAGCUGCCUCUGGUGCUGCCUUUGCUGAAGAAGCUGCAGCGUAAGAGGCCAGAAAGAGAAACACGUGAAAGAUUUCACUCUAGUACAUGUUAGCUGUAUGAUGCUUGUUUUAUCUGUGCCUGAAUAAAGUGUUAACCUCUGGAGAUUAAAGAUGAAAGCAACUGUGCACUUUUAUUAAUGCAGGUUUCAGUAGCAGAGAAAGGAGGCUUAAAGGUCAAGACUUUAGGUCUUUGAGGACUAAAAGGUGACAUAGCUGCUGUUAAAACUGUAAACAUGAGCAAAGUGAAGGAUAAUCCUUAUCCUAACAUGUCAGUGAAAGACAGAAAUAUAUUAUUACCACUCCUAUAACUGCUUAUUGAAGAUUGUGGAGUGAAAAGGUCAGAAUCAAAGCUCAGCACGACUUCAGUCAGCACUUUAGAGAUAAAGUUUAACGUCUCAGUCUCCAAAUCUGAGCUAAUAUUAUAGACAUUUUUGGCUGUUGCCAUAUUAGAUUUCUGAAACCAGUAUCAUUAACUGGGAAACAGAGCACAUGCGUAGAGUACUGAGUUGUCACUCAUAAGUUAGACUGGCCUUACAUCAUACACUUAUUUAUUUUUUUUAUUUUCCUCUAACAGACCAAUCGUACUAUAAUGACAUAAACCCAGCUGGAAAGCUUUUUCUGAGGUUUUACAUCACGUGAGCGGUAGCUUUGUUUUUCUCACAUUUUUGUUUACUGUACUGGUUUUUACAGCGACACAAUUCACCCCCUACUGGCCAUUAGAAAGAAUGCAGGUUUAACUCCCACCUUUCAAACCUGUAAACUACGUCAAUCUUUCAGUCUAUACUGUUCCUUUCAAGGAACUUGGACUAUUUCGCCAAACGUAUUUACUCACGGAGCUCAGGUGUUCCACUCACUUCCAUGGCCACAGGUGUAUAAAAUCAAGCACUAUAUACUAUGGGGGCAUUAUAACAAAGUGGAAGUGAUUGGGAAUGACAAACUCAGCAUUGAAGUGGUAGGCCAAGAAAAAUCACAGAGCGAGUUGCCAACUGUCUGACUUGUCUGACUGCAUUGUGCCAAGUGUAAGGUUUGGUGUAGGGGGGUUUAUGGUGCACGGCUUGUUUUCAGGAACUGGGCUCGGCCCCUUAGCUCCAGUGAAAAGAACUUAAUGCUUCAGCACAGUAAGACGUUUAACUGUGUGGCAACAGUCUGGGGAUGGCUCCUUCCUGUUCCAACAUGACUGCACUGCAGUGCACGAGGCAAGGUCCAUAAAGACAUGGAUGAGUUUGGCGUGGAAGAACUUGACUGGCCUGCACAGAGUCCUGACCUCAACCUGAUAGAACACCUUUGGGAUGAACACAGCGAUGUCGGCCUUCUCGUCCAUCAUUGGUGUCUGACCUCAGAAAUGCACUUCUGGAAGAAUGGUCAAAACUCCCCUAAACACACUAAAUGUUAUGGAAAGCUUUCCCAUCUUUGUUAUAGAUGCAAAGCACGUCAGGUUAAUGUGUGCAUUCAGCUCCUUAAAGACCAGCGGUGGUUUCCUCUCCAUCGCUGUAAGCAGCAGCACUUUGACUUCUUACUCCGGAGUGAAAACAACACUUCAAUGCUGCAUGAUCACAACUAACCCACUGACAGCUGCUGCUUAGCACCAUUACAGCACAGUUAACGGCUCUGGGCACAGCGCCAUGGCCUCUCCGGGCUGAGUAGACAAAAAUUGCGCAGACAGAAAUCAAAACAGACAGGCACGAUGAAGACAUUCAGAGUGAUCAGUCUACCGUGCAGCUGGUGAAGCUGGAAUCAGCCCUGAAAUACAUUCGCUUCUUCCUUUCUGCUUUCUCUGUCUUCGAUUAAACAGUUACAGACUCCGACAGGCUGUCACACCUUGGGGAAUUUUAAUCUUAAUAGCACAAGCUGAAGUAGCACCAUUUUAACCUGUUUUAGAGAGGAGGCUCACAGUGAGGGAUUUCUUUGAUAAAACCGGUCCUUUUACAGUCAUGGAUGGUGUUUCGGGGCUCUUCAUUCAUCGCUGUGUUUGAACCCACACACGGGAGCUCUGUGGGGAGUUUGCACUCUCUCACUGUGGCUGUGUGAGUUUCCUGUAGGAUCUCCAGCUUUUCUACUAUCAAAAACAAGCUAGGCUGGUGCUGCCUAUCCUUGAGUUUCACAUACUGGUUAAAUAGAAGGUUUGAAAAUCAUUUAAUUUACAAGAAAUUAGUGUUUUAAGUUGCAUAUCAGACUAUCUCUUGCUUUAGCUGCGAUCACAUAAGUUGAAAUCGGUGUGUCUUGUCUGUGCAGCGUGUACGGCUUGCACAAUGUCAUGUUCACAAAGCUGAGUUGUGGGUAACAGUGUUUGUUUUUGAGUGUGUGUGUGUGUGUGUGUGUGUUUGUGUGUGAGAAAGUAGCUAACCCUUCGCCGUGGAGCCCAUGUUGGCGAGUCUUUCCUCGUAACGCUCGGUAUCAUCGUUGACCGUCUUGUAUGCCUGAGAGAAACACAGCAGACAUGUACUCAUUACAUUCCAGCACACAGCUAAUGAUAACGGCACGAAACAAAAUCCAACCUCAAGCUGACAUUUUG